Molecule: ribosomal RNA, 392 nt
Filed under: uncultured bacterium
Lineage: Bacteria
Description: partial 16S ribosomal RNA
Rfam family: Bacterial small subunit ribosomal RNA
Source: RNAcentral
AUACGUAUGUCGCAAGCGUUAUCCGGAUUUAUUGGGCGUAAAGCGCGUCUAGGCGGCUUAGUAAGUCUGAUGUGAAAAUGCGGGGCUCAACCCCGUAUUGCGUUGGAAACUGCUAAACUAGAGUACUGGAGAGGUAGGCGGAACUACAAGUGUAGAGGUGAAAUUCGUAGAUAUUUGUAGGAAUGCCGAGGGGGAAGCCAGCCUACUGGACAGAUACUGACGCUAAAGCGCGAAAGCGUGGGUAGCAAACAGGAUUAGAUACCCUGGGAGUCCACGCCGUAAACGAUGAUUACUAGGUGUUGGGGGUCGAACCUCAGCGCCCAAGCUAACGCGAUAAGUAAUCCGCCUGGGGAGUACGUACGCAAGUAUGAAACUCAAAGGAAUUGACGGGG